GUUCCCUCCUUUGGCACAAUGGGUCAAUGCGUCUGGCUGUUAACCAGAAGGCUGGUGGUUCGAGCCCACCCGGGAACG
Non-coding RNA from Podarcis lilfordi (Lilford's wall lizard), 78 nucleotides. Lineage: Eukaryota; Metazoa; Chordata; Lepidosauria; Squamata; Lacertidae. The record is from the annotation of a GenBank genome assembly.